GAUGAACGCUGGCGGCGUGCCUAAUACAUGCAAGUCGAGCGAACAGACGAGGAGCUUGCUCCUCUGACGUUAGCGGCGGACGGGUGAGUAACACGUGGAUAACCUACCUAUAAGACUGGGAUAACUUCGGGAAACCUGAGCUAAUACCGGAUAAUAUAUUGAACCGCAUGGUUCAAUAGUGAAAGACGGUUUUGCUGUCACUUAUAGAUGGAUCCGCGCCGCAUUAGCUAGUUGGUAAGGUAACGGCUUACCAAGGCGACGAUGCGUAGCCGACCUGAGAGGGUGAUCGGCCACACUGGAACUGAGACACGGUCCAGACUCCUACGGGAGGCAGCAGUAGGGAAUCUUCCGCAAUGGGCGAAAGCCUGACGGAGCAACGCCGCGUGAGUGAUGAAGGUCUUCGGAUCGUAAAACUCUGUUAUUAGGGAAGAACAAAUGUGUAAGUAACUAUGCACGUCUUGACGGUACCUAAUCAGAAAGCCACGGCUAACUACGUG
Molecule: ribosomal RNA, 497 nt
Filed under: uncultured bacterium
Lineage: Bacteria
Description: partial 16S ribosomal RNA
Rfam family: Bacterial small subunit ribosomal RNA
Source: RNAcentral